Molecule: ribosomal RNA, 422 nt
Filed under: uncultured bacterium
Lineage: Bacteria
Description: bacterial SSU rRNA
Rfam family: Bacterial small subunit ribosomal RNA
Source: RNAcentral
UAAGGAAUAUUGGACAAUGGUCGCAAGACUGAUCCAGCCAUGCCGCGUGCAGGAAGACGGCCCUAUGGGUUGUAAACUGCUUUUGUACCAGAGAAAACCUAUCUACGUGUAGAUAGCUGAUAGUAUGGUAAGAAUAAGCAUCGGCUAACUUCGUGCCAGCAGCCGCGGUAAGACGAAGGAUGCAAGCGUUAUCCGGAUUCACUGGGUUUAAAGGGUGCGUAGGUGGGCAGAUAAGUCAGUGGUGAAAUCUUCCGGCUUAACCGGGAAACUGCCGUUGNUACUAUUUGUCUUGAAUAUUGCGGAGGUAAGCGGAAUAUGUCAUGUAGCGGUGAGAUGCUUAGAUAUGACAUAGAACACCAAUUGCGAAGGCAGCUUACUACACAAUCAUUGACACUGAGGCACGAAAGCGUGGGUAGCGAACA